Molecule: ribosomal RNA, 400 nt
Filed under: uncultured bacterium
Lineage: Bacteria
Description: partial 16S ribosomal RNA
Rfam family: Bacterial small subunit ribosomal RNA
Source: RNAcentral
UGGGGAAUUUGGACGAAUUGGGCGAAAGCCUGAUCCAGCAAUGCCGCGUGUGUGAAGAAGGCCUUCGGGUUGUAAAGCACUUUUGUCCGGAAAGAAAUCCUUGGCUCUAAUACAGUCGGGGGAUGACGGUACCGGAAGAAUAAGCACCGGCUAACUACGUGCCAGCAGCCGCGGUAAUACGUAGGGUGCAAGCGUUAAUCGGAAUUACUGGGCGUAAAGCGUGCGCAGGCGGUUUGCUAAGACCGAUGUGAAAUCCCCGGGCUCAACCUGGGAACUGCAUUGGUGACUGGCAGGCUAGAGUAUGGCAGAGGGGGGUAGAAUUCCACGUGUAGCAGUGAAAUGCGUAGAGAUGUGGAGGAAUACCGAUGGCGAAGGCAGCCCCUGGCAAGUACUGACGCUC